This 845-nucleotide long non-coding RNA is filed under the name Phasianus colchicus (ring-necked pheasant). Its description in RNAcentral is "lncRNA (ENSPCLG00000000703.1)". The record is from RNAcentral. Lineage: Eukaryota; Metazoa; Chordata; Aves; Galliformes; Phasianidae.
CUACUACUACUUCUUCAGUUUCCACAGUUGUGUGUUGAGCAACAAGUUUAGAUCCAAACAUCUCUGAAACCUUACAAGAUUCAAAUUUGGAUCUGGAUCAAAUGGUGUGACAUAUCUAUUUCUGAUAAAUGGAUAAUUCAGCGUGCAAAGAGUGCGUGCACACACAGACAGACGCGCACACAUGUCGAUACACAAACAAAGAGCUGGUGGCCUGAAUAUGAAUCGUGUCUUACCAGCAAAUCCAGCAUUUGGAAUCGUUUGCAUAACCAUUUCCAGCCUUGGCUCACUUCUGUUCUGAAUAAGCAGUCAAGGAGUUUGGGUACUUUUCAGUCCCUUAUGGGCUGGCAGCACAGAGAGAAGGAUCUGAUCUGUUUAACUUCUGUUAGCCUGUACGGAUGCACCUCCCUAGAGGCAGAAAUGUGAAGCUAUCUUCAUCCCUAUCAGAAAAACUCCAGAGUACUGCUUUGGUGGGAAAAAAUGCUCAGUGCUUCAAGCACCCAAGCCUUCCCUAACCUGGGAGCAGGUGCAUGCUGUCUCAUAAAAGUGGAGUGCUCUGAACAUCACUUCAAGCUUUAGAGGGUCUCUGACUGAUGCAGCUGAACACUUCAUGCCUCCCCAGACCCUCCGCUAUACAACACAAGCUGGUGCUAAAGCUCUGCUGCACUGCAGACACUUCCUAUAAGAGUCCCCAAAUGUGUAGUUAGUGCUCAGGAUCACACCAGCUAGUGCACCACCUAACUUUCAUCAGCAGGUUUGUGGCUACGAUUUAUUUUUCUUCCAUCUGGAUGUGAUUUUAGAGCGUUACAGAAACCUGAGGUGGAGACAAGCAGCCUUCUGAUUCAUUU